GUGCCCACUUCGGCAGCACAUACGCUAAAAUUGGAAUGAUACAGAGAACAUUAGCAUGUCCCCUGUACAAGAUGUCACACAAAUUUGUGAAGUGCCCCAUAAACAU
Molecule: small nuclear RNA, 106 nt
Organism: Cavia porcellus (domestic guinea pig)
Lineage: Eukaryota; Metazoa; Chordata; Mammalia; Rodentia; Caviidae
Source: Ensembl